GCUGACGUAGCUCAGUAGGCAGAGCACUUCAUUGGUAAUGAAGAGGUCGGCGGUUCGACUCCGCUCGUUAGCUCCA
RNAcentral lists this transfer RNA (76 nucleotides) under Firmicutes bacterium CAG:41. Its description in RNAcentral is "transfer RNA-Thr(GGT)". It matches the Rfam family "tRNA". From Rfam's summary of the family: Transfer RNA (tRNA) molecules are approximately 80 nucleotides in length. The record is from RNAcentral. Lineage: Bacteria; Bacillati; Bacillota. RNAcentral also lists the same sequence under 14 other names.